Molecule: ribosomal RNA, 390 nt
Filed under: uncultured bacterium
Lineage: Bacteria
Description: bacterial SSU rRNA
Rfam family: Bacterial small subunit ribosomal RNA
Source: RNAcentral
GACGAACGCUGGCGGCGUGCUUAACACAUGCAAGUCGAGCGGUAAGGCCCUUUUGGGGGUACACGAGCGGCGAACGGGUGAGCAACACGUGGGUGACCUGCCCUCAGCUCUGGGAUAAGCCUGGGAAACUGGGUCUAAUACUGGAUAUGACUCCACGGUGCAUGUCGUGGGGUGGAAAGCCUUGUGCGGCUGAGGAUGGGCCCGCGGCCUAUCAGCUUGUUGGUGGGGUGAUGGCCUACCAAGGCGACGACGGGUAGCCGGCCUGAGAGGGCGACCGGCCACACUGGGACUGAGACACGGCCCAGACUCCUACGGGAGGCAGCAGUGGGGAAUCUUGCGCAAUGGGCGAAAGCCUGACGCAGCGACGCUGCGUGAGGGAUGACGGCCUGG